AUACGUAGGUGCCAAGCGUUAUCCGGAUUUACUGGGCGUAAAGGGCGUGUAGGCGGUCUUGCAAGUCAGAAGUGAAAUUCCUGAGCUCAACUCGGGCGCUGCUUCUGAAACUGCAGGACUUGAGUGCUGGAGGGGAUAGCGGAAUUCCUAGUGGAGCGGUAAAAUGCGCAGAUAUUAGGAAGAACACCGGUGGCGAAGGCGGCUAUCUGGACAGUAACUGACGCUGGGGCGCGAAAGCGUGGGGAGCAAACAGGAUUAGAUCCCCUGGUAGUCCACGCCGUAAACGAUGAAUACUAGGUGUAGGGGGUAUCGACUCCCUCUGUGCCGCAGUUAACACAAUAAGUAUUCCGCCUGGGGAGUACGGCCGCAAGGUUGAAACUCAAAUGAAUUGACGGGG
This 397-nucleotide ribosomal RNA is filed under the name uncultured bacterium. Its description in RNAcentral is "partial 16S ribosomal RNA". It matches the Rfam family "Bacterial small subunit ribosomal RNA", at positions 523 to 918 of the family's 1533-position model. The record is from RNAcentral.